This 9760-nucleotide long non-coding RNA is filed under the name Solanum tuberosum (potato). RNAcentral's name for it is "long non-coding RNA (STUB_LNC011028)". Lineage: Eukaryota; Viridiplantae; Streptophyta; Magnoliopsida; Solanales; Solanaceae. The record is from RNAcentral.
CUUGCUGCUUCUUGAAUUGAUUUUUCAACAUUUAAAUCAUCAAAAUUUGAUAAAUUAAUUGUUGGGAUUGAUUCUUGAUUGUCAAUUUGAGACUUGUUUAGUCUUUGUUCUUUUGGUUGAAUGCAUUGAUUUGGGAUAAUUUCAAGGUUUGUGUCUACUAGGCCUUUUAGUCCAUUUGCUUUCUUGAUUACAAAAUCAAGUAUGUCAUCAUUUGGUUCAAAUUUUGAAGAAGACAUUUGUGUUGAAUCUUGAUGAGUGUGUACUAGUGGAAGAAGGAAAUUUGAGGUUUUUUUAAUGGUGGAUUUGAGGGGGUGUGUUGGGGGGGCGGGGGAGAAGGGGGGUUUGCUAUGGAAUGAUUUAAGAUUGAAUCAUUACUUCAUCUAGCAACGAGGGGGUUGUGAUGGAGUGCUAAAUAUUUUUUCAUUUUUAAUCAAAUAUUUUGGAUUCAAUUUUUUCUGAAUAUAGAGUGUUUUACCUCUCAGUAUGAGACUUUUCAAUGUAAAUUCAAAUUUAUUUGGAUUCAGUUUAUCAUAAAAUUUAUUUUCAUAGCUAUUUGAAAAUCGAUGAGGUGGCUUUUUGGUAUCAUAUAAAUGAAUUGUGGUUGGUUUGAAUAACAUUCACAUCCUUUUGAAAUUCGUGCUCUCUAUUAUAUCCAUAAAAAAAUAUCAGUAAAAAUAGUAAUAUUAUAAUUUAAUACUUUAUUUUGCUUUUAAUAUUAUAAUUUUAUAGCUAUAAAUUAUUAUGACAAUUCAGAAGAUUUGCUUGGGAUAUAUACCGAAUGUGUAUUAUUAUUUUUUGGAAUAAGUUUUUGAAAGUCUUAUAAAAGCAGUACCACUUAAAUCUGUUAGAAGGAAAAAUUUCAUAUGCUUGAGUACAUUUCCUUAUACAUUACUAAAUCUUCUUCAUGCUUGUGUUCUUCGUUUGCUAGAAAAUGGGUCCAUUAAUUUGCCUCUCUCCAGACGUAUUAGAUAGUGUCAAAUGUGAAAAAGUUAAAUUUCACCAAAUGCUCAAAAUUCAAGAAAUGUGAAAUUAUACACUAAUUUAUAAUGAGUAAAAGGCCAAAAACUGCAUUUUAAAAUAUAUCAACACUGUUUAUUAACGAGUUGAGCUAGUAAAUAAAUGGAUCAAUGAUCAGGUUAAACUUGGAUGGAUUUGAUGGAUCAUAUUUUCAUGACUAAGUUUUUGUUGUUAGGGUGAACUUUAGUAGAAUUUACGUAGUAUUUGAUAGUCAAAACUCGACAUUUGAUACUAGUUUUCGUAUUGAGAGACUACCUAUCACAAUCUUUGAUGAUUGGGGGGUUUCGUCACCCUAUAUUGAUACCAGUCUUAGGAGUGAAAGUAAAUUCAUUCCAAACUCGAAAUCUAUAGUUGAUGAUGGAGAUAGUUACUACCGGUCACAAUCUUAGAAAAUGAUAAGCGGCAUUUAAGUAGGUGUCCCCCCCCCCCCCCUCCUCAUUUUGUAUUCAGUAUCCUCUUCAAAACUGAAUGUAAAUUUAUUUCUAAAUUCGAGAUCUCUAAUUGAAGGCGGAUUUAGCAAGGGCCCCCCCCCCCCCCCUCCUCAUUUUGUAUUCAGUAUCCUCUUCAAAACUGAAUGUAAAUUUAUUUCUAAAUUCGAGAUCUCUAAUUGAAGGCGGAGAUAAUUACUACCCAUCACGAGUACAUGUUUUUUCUUAUUGUAUAUUCGGUAUCCACUUUUAAGAAAAUACAUUUUUUAAAUUAUAGAGUUCAAAUUUAAAAUUGUCAUAGUGUUACACACCAACAAUUCAAUGAAUGAACUUACAUUAUUCAGUGCGGACUCAAAAUUUUAUAUAAGUGAGUUCAACCAUAGGAUGAUCGUCGAUAGUGUAAGCAACAUCAAGCACAACAAAUGAUUUGCUCUUUGUGCUUUUAUUUAUUCUUUUUUUAAUAAUUUAAUAUCAAAAUAAGAUAUAUAGUUUUUUUUAGAAAAACUCGGCACUUUUUAAUUAUUUAACAAAGUUGAGGAAUUUAUUUUAAAAAAAAUCUAUUUACAUUUAAAAAAACAAAAAACAAAAAACAAAAUUAGAGUUAACUAAGAAACUAUAUAUAAUCUCAUCAAAAUAACAAAUUAUAGCAAAAAACUAAGAAAGACACUACAAAAAUUCAAUUAUAAAUGAUUAAAUGUUUUUAGAAGUAAAACAGAUUUAAGAUUUUUAUCGAGUUUGAGUAAGAAGACAAAAUAUACAACAUAAAAUUUAAAAAUAAAAUAAAAUAUAUUGGUGAUAAAUUUAUUAGUGACUAGCAUAUUGAAUAUGAUUGGUCAAUUUUUUUUAUAGGCCAAUUUGGCUACUGAAUAUGAAUACACAGUGAUAUUGAACCAAAAGCAGUAACAUGCCACACUUUGUUCAUUGUGGGUUUAAAUAUAUAAUUAUACUAAUUUAACAUUAAUUCUCCUUAUAUAAAUAAUAAAUUUUCCAACCGAGUGGGUUCAACAUGUGGGUCCACCCCUGACAUUAUUACAUUGAAAAAAAAAUAUGGGGGAAAGUUAUUAUAAACAAAAAGUAGGAUGAAGGGCAAAAUAAGAUUAUGAAAUCAUUAGAACAAAAUAAGAUAACAAUACAAUCACACAAACUCACCGGUUACAUAAAGAAAUACUUUUUGACAUUGCAUAACAAAGAAAUUUGUGAAUUAAAACAUCAAAUUUUAGCAAAAUCUAGUGAUGCUUUACCAGAGGGCCUCUUACUGAAGUAAUGAUCCCAAUAAUCAGAGAACAAAACAUGUUUGUACAUUGAUUUUUCUCCAUCUUUGAGUAUUUGUGGGAAUGGACCAAUGACACUAUCAGGGCUAGGAUUCACAAAUAGCGGUACAGAUAUUCGAGCCCUGCUAGAAUCAACUGCUACACAAUGCUCGAUACUUUUGUAUCGAUCGUUGCUCAUGAUCUGCAACGAGUUACCUAUGUUAACCGCCAAGGCACCUUUGAUAGGAUUUACGUGAAUCCAGUUAUCACCUUUAGUCCCUUGGACAUAUAGGCCUCCCGUGUCGUCCUGGAGGAGCAGAGUUAUGCAGGACAUGUCGCAGUGUCUACGAAAACCAAUGGCGAUACUUGGAUUUGGACAAGGUGGAUAGUAGUUUAUAUUGAUAGCCAUAGUUCCCAUCAAGAGAGGUUCUAAAGAUUCAUCAAUUUCAUUGACAUUGAGACCCUUCAAUAGCACCUCAAGCAAUUUUUUAGCAAGUGGUGUAGCCCACUUUUGAUACUCCAAGACUUGAUUCCUGUAAAACAGUAUCAAAGUCAGAAAUUUCACUAAGAGUGUUCAAAAUUUAAUGGUAAGAUCAAGAAUUUUGCUAAUAAUGUUCAAGAUUCAAUGUCAAAGUCAUAAAUUUUUCUAAGAAUGUUUCAAGAGUCUAUAAAAACAACCUCUUUAUGUAGUAAAGAUAGAGGUAAAGUCUACGUAUAUCCUACCCUCUCCAUACUCUACUUGUGAGAUUAUAGUGGAUAUGUAAUUGUAAAAAAGAUAUAUGUACACCGUUAUAAAAAAAGUCUUGAGAUAAUGAUAAAAAACACAUCUGAAGUAUCACGUUUUCACGAGUUUUCUUUCCUAUAUGGACUAUCAUCAAAAUUACUUUGCCAUUUGGACAAAAUUCUAUGGGCAAAUUAAGUUGUGACGCACUGUAUUCAAACACUUGAUCUAGUCAGUUUUGGAAUGUGUUUUGAUAAAUAGUUGGUGAUAGUUCAGAAACACAAACACCUUAUAGUAAAAGAUAUGAAACUCGCAAAAGUAAUACUUGGAAACUUGUGACCUAUAAAUUACAUGGAGCAGAAAACCCCAAAAAGUUACCUUGUUUGAGGAGGCCAAAGAUUGCUAUCAUUUUGUGGAUUACAACUAUGUCUUAUACCAUCCCUCCACUCUAAAACUUUUUCAUCUUUCUCACCAAUAGCACUCCAAAACAUCAACACAGAUUCACUAGCAUUAUAGCUCUCUUUGUUAUACUUAACUUUUUCUUCAGAUGGCAAUUCAAAGAAUUUGUGUCCUGCUUCCUUUAAAUCAUCAAGAACUUCAAUUGGGAUGCCAUGAUUGAUGAUUUGGAAGAAACCCCACUUGCUUGCGGCAUCUUGAAUUGAUUUUUCAACACUUAAAUCAUCAAAAUUUGAUAUAUCAAUUGUUGGGAUUGAUUCUUGAUUGUCAAUUUGAGAUUUUUCUAGUCUUUGGUCUUUUGGUUGAAUACAUUGAUUUGGGAUAUUUUCAAGGCCUGUGUCUACUAGACCUUUUAGUCCAUUUGCUUUCUUGAUUACAAAAUUAAGUAUGUCAUCAUUUGGUUCAAAUUUUGAUGAAGGCAUUUGUGUUGAAUCUUGAUGAGUGUGUACUAAUGAAAGAAAGAAAUUUGGGGUUUUUUUUAGCUGUGGGUUUGAGAGGGGUGUGUAUGGGGGGAGAGGAAAGAAGGGGAGUGGACUAUGAAAUGAUGAAAGAUUGAAUCAUUACUUUAACAUCGAUGGGUUAUUAUAAAGUGGUAAAUACUUUUUCGUCUUUAAUCAGAUGUUUUAGAUUCAAAUUUCCUGAAUACAAAAUUGACUUAUUUAAAAAACAUCCUCUUAAUAUGAGACUUUUUGGUGCGAAUUCAAAUUUCAUUGGACUCAAUAUGAAUAUCAAACCUCCGAUGAUAAAAAAAUAAAUAUUAUUCCUUCUUCUAUUAUUUCAAGGGAGGGUGGGGCAAAAGGGGGCUGGCUAUGAAAUGAUGGAAGAUUGAAUCAUACUUUCAUCUAGCAACGAGAGAUUAUAGUGAAGUGGUAAAUAUUUUUCAUUUUUAAUCAAAUGUCUUGUAUUCGAAUUUUUCCAAAUACAAUAUUGUUCUUAUUAGAGAUUGUUUUACUUUUCAAUAUAAGACUUUUCGGUGCAAAUUCAAUUUUAGUUAGACUCAAUAUGAAUAUCAAAUAUCGAAUGAUUAAUCUAUUAUUUGAAGGUAGUAGGGAUGGGAUAUGUGGAUGAUAUAUUAAUGACCUAAACAAAAUUCUUGAAUUGGUUUUUUAUUUAGUAUUUUGAAUUUUUAUUUUUUAUUUAAUCAAACAUCAUUAUCAUAAAAUAGCUAUUUGGAAAUUGGUGAGGUGGCUUCUUGAUGUCCAUGGGUGAAUUGUGGUUCGUAGAUAACAUCCAAAACUUUUUUUGUCGGUUGUUAUGAAUGAUGAAUUUUGUAUAUUAUAUCCAUAAAAAUUAUCAGUAAAAAUAGAUAUAAUUUAAUUUUCUUAUUUACUUUUCAUAGUAUAACUUUUAUAGCUAUAAAUUUGAUGGAGACAUAUAUUAAAUGUGAAUUAUAUUUUUUACUAAGUAGGAAAAAGCUUUAAACAGUCUUUUAAAAGCACUACCACUUAAAAAAUUCAAAUGUUUAGUGUCCUUCAUUUGCUAGAAAAUGCACCUAUUUGCCUCUCUCUAAAUAAAUGUGUUUGAUAAUGUCAAAAGUUAAAAUGUACAAAAAAAAAUCAACUAUGCCAAAUGCUCAAAAUUCAAGAAAUAUGGAAUUAUACACUAAUUUAUACAAGUUAAAUUGUAAAGAACAAAAUAAUAAGGGGAAUUACAUUCUGCAACAUAUCAGCCUAGUCUUUUAAUGAGUUGAAAUGAGUAAAUAGACGAACCAAUGACUAGGCCAAACUUGGACGGAUUUGACGAAUCGUAUUACUAGAACCAAUGACUAGGCCAAACUUGGACGGAUUUGACGAAUCAUAUUUUCAUGAAUGUAACAUACAAGUUAGGACACAAAUGCAGGCCAUACACAAGUAAUUGAUCACCGAGGACUAUGAAUUUGUAACAUCAUCCGACUAUCCAAGCUCUGUUGUCCUGAGAAUUCUCCGUUAGACAUGAAGUUCGUGUUCAUAUUGAUCGCGUAAAGGUCCAAUGUUUGUUCUGUAAUUAAUCCAAGACUCUCCUCAUCUUGACAUUGUUGAGUUUUAGACCAUGGAUGUUUUGUGAACUUCCUUAGUCCUUCUAGCUCCAUGGCUACUUCUUUCAUCGUAGGCCUUUCUUCACUCGUUAACCUUAAACAUCUCUUCGCGAGCUCAGCAACACCUUGACAUUGCUCAAAACUUCCUUCUCGUAGCACACGUGAUUCAAGUACUUGAAACAAUCGAUUUUCCUUAAUAGACCUAACGAAAAAUGCAGCUAGAUUUCUCUCUUGUUCGGAUGCUGUAGUAUCUAGUGGCAUUCGCGCUGUUAAGAGCUCUGCAAGAACCACGCCAAAACUAUAAACGUCACUCUUUUCUGUCAAUUGACUUGUGUGGAAGUAUUCAGGAUCUAAGUAACCUAAAGUUCCUUGAACCAAUGUAGUCACUUGAGUUUGAUCCAAUGACACUAAUCUAGAAGCCCCGAAAUCUGAUAUUUUUGCAGUGUAACUCUCAUCGAGUAGAAUGUUUGUAGACUUCACAUCUCAAUGAAUUACAGGUGUAGAAGCUGCAGAAUGUAGAUAUGCGAGUGCACCAGCAGCUUCAGAUGCUAUUCUUAAUCGAUUUUCCCAUGAAAACCAACGCAUUUGAUCUCCACCAUCAUGAAUAUGGUAAUAGAGUGUACCUUUGGAAAUGUAUUCAUAGACUAGUAGAGGUACUUCAGACUCCAAACAACACCCCAAGAGUUUCACCACGUUUCGAUGAUUGACUUCUGAAAGAAUGAUCACUUCAUUGAUGAACAAUUCUAUUUGGAUGACGUCCAUUGUUCUAGACUUUUUAAUUGCAACUACACGUUUGUCCGGAAGGACACCUUUGUAAACUGUACCAUAACCACCUCGGCCUAGGAUACGAUCCUCAGCAUAGUUGUUGGUUGAUUUCUCGAGUUCUGCUGCUGUAAAGAUCUUAGCUGCAUACUGUAUACCACCCUCAUUUGAUCGGAGUUUCUGCGUGAGCAUCAAUCCACCAUUUUUCUGAAAAAACGUUUCCCUGAGUCUUAUGAGUCGUCAUCUUUUGAUGCCUAAGUAUAUCCAAGUUACACUGAUGACCAAAGCCAGAAAACCAAAGCACAAACCUGCAAUGAAAGUGCAACUUUAGUUUACUCUUAACCGUUUUCACUUUAUAUGAAGGUGUUUGACUGGACACACAGAGUAGAGUAGACGUACUGAUUGAGAGUUGAAGGAUGGGUGAUUUAGAGUUCUUAGGGAUGCAACCGUGGCCGUCCUUUUUUCCAUCACCAAUCUGACCAUGUGGACAAGUGCAGCUGUAGCCUCCAGGAAAGUUAUUGCAUAUUCCAUCACAAGGAUUCUCGUUCUCGCAUUCAUUUAUAUCUGUCAAUUAAUCAAACAUCAGAACGUAAAGAGGUUGUUUCUGAUAGACCCUCGGCUCAAAUGCAACACUAACCAACACAUAUAACAUCAUUCGAACAAAGUAACUUUGGCUCAAACCUUACUAAACAAGCACAAAUCGUAGAUUCCUAACCAAGUUACGACAAUUUCAAACUCGAACACAAAAAGUUCAAAUCAUGAAUUCAGUCUUACCUAUGCAACCUGGACUGAUAUAAGGGUUCCCCUGGUAUCCCGGUUUGCAGUUGCAACGAUAACCUCCGAGGCCUGUCUUAGAAUCUACACAAACACUAUUUUCUCCACAAGCAUAAUCUGCUGAUUUCUUAGCCACAGUGCAACUACCAUUGCCAAUAACCCAAUCAAUCACCACAGGGACUUCCUCUAUAACCUUGUUCCUGAAACUCGAAUUUGAUAAAUCCGAGCUCUUGAAAAUGAACUUAUCAGGCUCACCAAGAAACAAGUAGCCACAAGGGUUAAAAGAAGACACAUUUGUAUGGUUAUUCAAACUCCUUGUUAGACUCACAAAACUCUUCAAACCUGUUGGGAUUGAAGUCUGGCAACAUCCAAUUCCUGAGCAAUAUCCUUCAAUUAUAUCCUCUUUUUUCGCGCAUAGUGAAAUGCAUCCACUAGUAAAGUUCCUCCCUUCAUAGCCGAGAAUGAGAGCUAAGUCAUCGCAGCCAACUACCAUCAAACUAUUGAGAUCAGAGAAGGAGAAAGACGUCAAUCCCAAGCUAAAGUUUAUCGAGUCAUCAUUGAUCAAGACCCCUGCUUGAUCAUAACACCUACUCCCAACAUUGUUCUUAAAAUAAGAAAGGGCAAGAUAAAGAAAAAAUAAAUAAAUAACGGACAGGAUCACACCAAAUUGCAAGUUACAUAAAAUAACAGUUAUCGUCAUUACAAUAACAGAUUUAUAAUACAAAAACAUUAACAUACAAGAAAUUUGAAAAUUAAAGCAUCAAUUUUUUGCAAAAUCUAGUGAUGCUUUACCAGAAGGCCUCUUAAUAAAGCAAUGAUCCCAAUAAUUAGAGAACAAAAUAUGUUUGUACACUGGUUUUUCUCCAUCUUUUAGCAUUUGUGGGAAUGAACCAAUGACACUAUCAAAACUAGGAUUCACGCAUAGCGGUACAGAUAUUCGAGUCCUGCUCGAAUCAACUGCUACACAAUGCUCGAUACUCUUGUAUCGAUCAUUGCUCAUGAUCUGCAAUGAGUCACCUAUAUUAACCGCUAAGGCACCUUUGAUAGGAUUUACGUGAAUCCAGUUGCCUUUAGUCCCUCGGACAUAUAGGCCUCCUGUGUCGUCCUGGAGGAGCAAAGUUAUGCAGCCCAUGUCGCAGUGUCUACGAAAACCCAUGGCGAUACUUGGAUUUGGGCAUGGUGGAUAGUAGUUGAUGUUUAUAGACAUAGUUCCCAUCAAGAGAAGUUCUAAAGAUUCGUCAAUUUCAUUGACAUUGAGACCCUUCAAUAGCACCUCAAGCAAUUUUUUAGCAAGUGGUUUAACCCACUUUUGAUACUCCAAAACUUGGUUCCUAUAAAUCAAUAACAAACUCAGGAAUUUUAUUAAGAGCAUUAGUGUUUAAUGGGAAGGUCAAAUUUUUCUCUAAUAACGUUCAAGAUUCAAUGUCAAAGUUAAGAAUUUCACUAAGAAUAUUUCGUAAGUCUAUAAAAUCACAACCUCCUUAUGCUGCUAAGACAGAGGUAAAAUAUGCGUAUAUUCUACCCUCUCCAUACUCUACUUGUGAGAUUAUACUAGAUAUGUAAUCGUAUAAAAGAUAACUUUUCUCCUACAUAUACGAUAUACUUUUGAUUUAAGUUAUAAAAACCAUUAUAAAAUCUUGAUAUAAUUUUGUAUUCAACCACUUAAUCUAGUUAGUUUUUAAAUAUCUUUUGAUAAAUAGUUGGUGAUAGUUCAGAAACGUCAAGCACCUCCCAAAAAGUAAUACUACUUGAAAACCCGUGACCUAUUGAUUACACAGAGUAGAAAACCCCAAAAAGUUACCUUGUUUGAGGAGGCCAAAGAUUGCUAUCAUUUUUGUGGAUUACAACCAUGUUUUAUACUAUCCCUCCACUCCAAAACUUUCUCAUCUUUCUCACCAAUAGCACUCCAAAACAUAAACACAGAUUCACCAGGACUAACUUUUUCUUUAUGAUACUUAACUUUUUCUUCAGCUGGCAAUUCAAAGAAUUUGUGUGCCGCAUCCUUCAAAUCUUCAAGAACUUCAAUUGGGAUGCCAUGAUUGAUGAUUUGGAAGAAACCCCACUUGCUUGCUGCUUCUUGAAUUGACUUUUCAACAUUUAAAUCAUCAAAAUUUGAUAAAUCAAUUGUUGGGAUUGAUUCUUGAUUAUCAAUUUGGGACUUGUCUAGUCUUUGUUCUUUUGGUUGAAUGCAUUGAUUUGGGAUAAUUUCAAGGUUUGUGUCUACUAGGCCUUUUAGUCCAUUUGCUUUCUUGAUUACAAAAUCAAGUAUGUCAUCAUUUGGUUCAAAUUUUGAAGAAGACAUUUGUAUUGAAUCUUGAUGAGUGUGUACUACUGGGAG